GCCAGUGUGGCAUAAUGGCUUGAGCACCAGACUACAACUCUGGAGACCAGGGUUUGAAUCCCAGCUCGGCCA
Phrynosoma platyrhinos (Desert horned lizard) is the source of this 72-nucleotide non-coding RNA. Lineage: Eukaryota; Metazoa; Chordata; Lepidosauria; Squamata; Phrynosomatidae. The record is from the annotation of a GenBank genome assembly.